Long non-coding RNA from Bombus pascuorum, 2106 nucleotides. RefSeq lists it as uncharacterized. The transcript is spliced from 2 exons. NCBI's taxonomy places the organism in Eukaryota, Metazoa, Arthropoda, Insecta, Hymenoptera, Apidae. The record is from RefSeq and is a predicted model, not a curated record.
GCCUGCCAAAUGGAAAUAAUUCCAGGAUCAAAGAAAGAAAACCUAUUUGUUUGGUAAUCAAGCGUCAAGAACGUUUCCUUCGCUUUUCUGCUGAAAUAACGUUCGGUUUCAAUUGAACGUUUUAAUCACAUUGUGACUUUCGCGAAAUGCAUGAAAAGUCUCGUUUCCUAUCGAACCUCUCAGCAGAAUUUCAUUCUUCGUCAAUGACUUGGAGAUUUUUUUUCAAUAAACUUCUUCUCUCUUUUCUUUUUCUUGGUCUUUUUUUUUUCUUUUUUCGUUUGGAGCUUGCAAGACUUCUCUUCAUCGAUUUACAUUCAUGCAGCACCCGUAGCUCCCUUCGUUGUAUUUUUACUUCAUUGUGUCCUCUCGCGUGGAAUUCAGUAAUGAAGCAGAAACGCGGCCCCUAACGUCGACAGGCUGAAAAGCUCGGUUUCCAUUCGCCAUCGUUCGUCGCGAUUAACCAACUGAACACGCUCCGAUCGCACGUUCGACGCCUUUCGGGGAAAAGCUAGCACGGUGGGAGGAACACGUAACGCGAACGUGUUCCUAUAAAAUAACACACAAUACCGGAUGAUUGCAGUGUUCAGCGUAUCGAAACCCGUUGCGAGAACUUGCUGCCUUUAUCCCGAGAGUAACGGUUCGAUCAGAAGCAUGCAGAUUUAUGUAAUGCCUCGGAGGGCGAACCGUUUUCCCACGGCGAUUGUUAUCGCGUUCUGACUGUCUGAAAAGUGGUUAUAAACUUUCUGCAAGGUUUAACGAAUUCUGAAAACUUUGAUGGAAGCUACUGAAGUCACUACGUUUGAAUUUAAGAGCGGAGAGCAACAAAAAGAAACUGCAGAUUCUUUUAUCGACUAAAUAAGAAAGGAUUCCGGCUUCAUUAUUCUAGCAUUGUUCGACGGAUGCCUUUCAAGGAGAAGCAGAAAGAAAUCGUUUCAAUAACGAUCGCGAGACAAUAAAAAAUAUCUUUACUUUGGAAUAAAAGCGAUCGAUGUCGAAGAACAGGGACGCGAUGUCGUUUCGCUUCACGUGCAAGAAAGGAAACGGACGUUAAAAGCUUGGCUCGACGACGUGAACCGGUCCGCGAAUCGCGGUGUUAACUUAAUUAAACGCAGUUUUAAAUUGGCGUCGCGGAGAGAAAGGUGAAUGGCGUGCCUUCUGCCAUCGAUUAAUUUGCUAAUUUAUAACGAGGAAAUUUUCCGAUGCAGACUAAUUGAAACGUUGCCGCGUCACUGAGAAUAAUGUCCGCACUUGUUCCGUUUAUUUCGUUGUGGCACGCCACGAGUUUUCUCUCUCUCUCUCUCUCCCAUUUGCAACACGUUAAAACAACUUUUGCAUAAUUCCGAGUUCGCUGAAUAUUAUAUUUUAUGUACACUACAUGCGUCUCGUUUUUUUCAUUCGAUUUACGUCGGCAGACAGUUCUCUGCGACGAAUAGAGCGUGUAAUCAACCCUUUUAACCACGGAUCAGAAUCAACAAAAUCAUACGAUAAAUUGUUAUUUAAAGAGGAGUGGUCACACCUGUCUACGUUGCGAAUAUUUAUAUUUUUUUAUUUGCGGGGGUAAACUCGUCAUAUUGUUAUACAUGGAGUUCGAAGGAAAUUACUAUAAUUAAACUGCGGAUGUUUAUUGUACGUUUGUUGGAAAUUUAAAUAAGGGAAAAUGUGAAAAUGUGAAAAUAUACAUAAUGUACAAAAAAGCAUACACAGUAUCAAAAGUAAAAUAUGUACUCGUAAUAAUAAUAUUUUGAGGGUGAAAGAAAUUUCUAUUCAUGUUCCAGUGGUUUAGCGUUAUGAUCGUGUGAGUAUGAAUUUCUAUAAAAAUUCACGGUCUAACCAUAGUACACGCCACAGAGAGUGUUUCCAAGAUGAUAAGGAUUAACUAAAUAGAUCAUUUUCCGACGAACAAAGUUGGUACGAUUAAUCAUUCAAGAGCUGGAUACAAUGUAUUUGAAUGUUUUUUCAAGUAUAUAACAAGUACAAUAUAUAAGUAAAAUACGAGAAUGCAAAUUGAAGAAUAUGCAACUUAAAUCAUGUUCUUGAAAUUGAAAUGUCAGGCAAAUGUAACCAAUGUGACUGAGAGUGCUAAAAAUUCUCACUUUUAUUCAUUUA